GAUGUACGCUGGCGGCGUGCCUAAUACAUGCAAGUCGAGCGAACGGACGAGAAGCUUGCUUCUCUGAUGUUAGCGGCGGACGGGUGAGUAACACGUGGAUAACCUACCUAUAAGACUGGGAUAACUUCGGGAAACCGGAGCUAAUACCGGAUGAUAUUUUGAACCGCAUGGUUCAAAAGUGAAAGACGGUCUUGCUGUCACUUAUAGAUGGAUCCGCGCUGCAUUAGCUAGUUGGUAAGGUAAUGGCUUACCAAGGCAACGAUGCAUAGCCGACCUGAGAGGGUGAUCGGCCACACUGGAACUGAGACACGGUCCAGACUCCUACGGGAGGCAGCAGUAGGGAAUCUUCCGCAAUGGGCGAAAGCCUGACGGAGCAACGCCGCGUGAGUGAUGAAGGUCUUCGGAUCGUAAAACUCUGUUAUUAGGGAAGAACAUAUGUGUAAGUAACUGUGCACAUCUUGACGGUACCUAAUCAGAAAGCCACGGCUAACUACGUG
RNAcentral lists this ribosomal RNA (497 nucleotides) under uncultured bacterium. RNAcentral describes it as "partial 16S ribosomal RNA". It matches the Rfam family "Bacterial small subunit ribosomal RNA", at positions 28 to 507 of the family's 1533-position model. The record is from RNAcentral.